GAUGAACGCUGGCGGCGUGCUUAACACAUGCAAGUCGAACGAGAAGUGGAGACGGAAACCUUCGGGCGGAAGACUUUAUUUCGAGUGGCGGACGGGUGAGUAACGCGUGGGUAACCUGCCUCAUACAGGGGGAUAACAGUUGGAAACGACUGUUAAUACCGCAUAAGACCACAGCACCGCAUGGUGCGGGGGUAAAAACUCCGGUGGGAUGAGAUGGACCCGCGUUCGAUUAGCCAGUUGGCGGGGUAACGGCCCACCAAAGCGACGAUCGAUAGCCGAUCUGAGAGGAUGACCGGCCACAUUGGGACUGAGACACGGCCCAAACUCCUACGGGAGGCAGCAGUAGGGAAUAUUGCACAAUGGGGGAAACCCUGAUGCAGCGACGCCGCGUGAGUGAAGAAGUAUUUCGGUAUGUAAAGCUCUAUCAGCAGGGAAGAAAAUGACGGUACCUGAGUAAGAAGCCCCGGCUAACUACGUG
This 478-nucleotide ribosomal RNA is filed under the name uncultured bacterium. Its description in RNAcentral is "partial 16S ribosomal RNA". It matches the Rfam family "Bacterial small subunit ribosomal RNA", at positions 28 to 507 of the family's 1533-position model. The record is from RNAcentral.